Molecule: long non-coding RNA, 306 nt
Organism: Xenia sp. Carnegie-2017
Lineage: Eukaryota; Metazoa; Cnidaria; Anthozoa; Malacalcyonacea; Xeniidae
Exons: 2
Source: RefSeq, a predicted model, not a curated record
ACUACGUCAGAGGUCUGGUACCGACACAGAGACGCCAUUCUAGUCAUUUCUUUCUGGAUAGUACGCCGUCCAUUGAAGCUCCUCAGUUCACAGUUUUAUAAAAAUUGCCAAAUACCAGCUGUUAUCCUUCUGUAAAAAAUGCCUCCUUGUUUGUCAAAAUCUGUAAUGAGAGACGUCUACUGCAUUUAUCCACAAAAGAAUAAUGCUGUACCACAAUACAACCAAUGAAUGCCUCCGUGUUUAUCAAAAUCAAUAAUGAGAGACGUCUACACCAUUUAUCCACAAAAGAAUAAUGCUGUACCACAA